CUUCUCUACUUCAUGGAAUUGCUUUGUUUCUUUUGGCACCGUCAAAAUUUCUUAAUGAAAACAAAAUUUUUAUCUUCGUUUCGCCAUGGAUAGAGCUCCAAGCCUUUGUAAGAGGAAUAAGAUUCCAGCCAAUAUCACUAAUGUCGCCAUGGCCGAUGCUCUUGCUGUUCGAUUUUCAAUCAGUUGAAGGAAUGGAGGAGUUUUUGAGCCUUGAUAGAUCUGGAGUACCUGCAUCGACGAUGGAAGCAGAGGUUAUUUAUCGAAAAUUCCACUAACUGCUUUGAGAACUUCGAAAAGAAGAAAGGCCCUCAGUGAUGUGGCAAUUACGACUUGAUCACGCCCAGGUGCAACUUGAGUUUAGGGGGAGAUCAGUAAAUGGAACCAAUUAGGACACAUGUCGUUGGAUGAUAUGCCCAACAGUUCAGAACUCGUGAAGGAAUGCAAGAAAUUAGAAAAUGAAACCAGUUAUUGUUCAUAUGUCUAUUGAUGAUAUGUCUAACAGUUCAGAACCCGUGAAAGAAAAUACGAAAUUGGAAACUGAGUCAAGGAAAACCGAUGAAUUAUUAGAAAGCAAAUUAGAUGAAGAUUUGAGUGUGUAAGUAAGUUGAUGAUGGAGAGAAGAAUAAGAUGGAGUCUGAAGUUACUCUCAGAGGAGGAACCAGAAAUGCUUCACUGCAAAGAAGUACCACAUGCUAAUUUAGAUGUGAAAUGCUUCUCUGAAGAUGAAAAGAUGAUGAUUCUGUGGAGAUUUCUGCAGAUGAAAUCAUAGAGUGCCGUUGUUAAAAACCUCACAUGCUUUUUCCCUCUCAGAUAUGUUUAGUUGAAAAUUUUGAUGAUUGAUAGCAAUUGGUGCAGAACACGUGAAGGAAAGUAAGGAAUUUGAAAAUGAAACCAAUUAUUGUUCAUAUGUCUAAACAGUUCAGGUUUGUAUUUUGUGAUUGUCUUGUUCUUUUUUAUUUUGCACAACGAUAUGUUUAGUUGAGAAUGAAAAUACGGAAUUGGAAAUUGAGUCUAACAAAACCGAUGGAAUAGGAAGCAAAAUAGAUGAAGAAUUGAGUGUAUAAUUUGAUGAUGGAGAGAAGAAUAGGAUGGAGUCUGAAGCUACUCUCAGAGGAGGAACCGUAAAUGGUUCUUGAUGACACGUUAAAAUCUAGUUACUGCAAACAAGCACCACAGGCUAAUUUGGAUGUGAAAUGCUUCUCUGAAAUGAAAAGUAAAUGAAGCUUCUGAAGAUGAUGAUUCUGUGGAGAUUUCUGCUGAAGAAAUCAAAGAUUGCCAUUGUAAAAAACGUACCUUACCAGCUUUCCCUCUCAGCACCACAGGCUAAUUUGGAUGUGAAAUGCUUCUCUGAAAUGAAAAGUAAAUGAAGCUUCUGAAGAUGAUGAUUCUGUGGAGAUUUCUGCUGAAGAAAUCAAAGAUUGCCAUUGUAAAAAACGUACCUUACCAGCUUUCCCUCUCAGCACCACAGGCUAAUUUGGAUGUGAAAUGCUUCUCUGAAAUGAAAAGUAAAUGAAGCUUCUGAAGAUGAUGAUUCUGUGGAGAUUUCUGCUGAAGAAAUCAAAGAUUGCCAUUGUAAAAAACGUACCUUACCAGCUUUCCCUCUCAGCACCACAGGCUAAUUUGGAUGUGAAAUGCUUCUCUGAAAUGAAAAGUAACUGAAGCUUCUGAAGAUGAUGAUUCUGUGGAGAUUUCUGCUGAAGAAAUCAAAGAUUGCCAUUGUAAAAAACGUACCUUACCAGCUUUCCCUCUCAGCACCACAGGCUAAUUUGGAUGUGAAAUGCUUCUCUGAAAUGAAAAGUAAAUGAAGCUUCUGAAGAUGAUGAUUCUGUGGAGAUUUCUGCUGAAGAAAUCAAAGAUUGCCAUUGUAAAAAACGUACCUUACCAGCUUUCCCUCUCAGCACCACAGGCUAAUUUGGAUGUGAAAUGCUUCUCUGAAAUGAAAAGUAAAUGAAGCUUCUGAAGAUGAUGAUUGUGUGGAGAUUUCUGCUGAAGAAAUCAAAGAUUGCCAUUGUAAAAAACGUACCUUACCAGCUUUCCCUCUCAGCACCACAGGCUAAUUUGGAUGUGAAAUGCUUCUCUGAAAUGAAAAGUAAAUGAAGCUUCUGAAGAUGAUGAUUCUGUGGAGAUUUCGCUGAAGAAAUCAAAGAUUGCCAUUGUAAAAAACGUACCUUACCAGCUUUCCCUCUCAGCACCACAGGCUAAUUUGGAUGUGAAAUGCUUCUCUGAAAUGAAAAGUAAAUGAAGCUUCUGAAGAUGAUGAUUCUGUGGAGAUUUCUGCUGAAGAAAUCAAAGAUUGCCAUUGUAAAAAACGUACCUUACCAGCUUUCCCUCUCAGCACCACAGGUUAAUUUGGAUGUGAAAUGCUUCUCUGAAAUGAAAAGUAAAUGAAGCUUCUGAAGAUGAUGAUUCUGUGGAGAUUUCUGCUGAAGAAAUCAAAGAUUGCCAUUGUAAAAAACGUACCUUACCAGCUUUCCCUCAGAAGAAGUGACCUUAUGUGUGUCUCUCUGUGGAACUUUAAUAUGAGAAGAUAAAGGAGGAAGAAGGGAGAGAGAAAAGGAAGAAAAGACUUAAUUGUUGGGAUGACCGGAUGGGUAUGAAGAUGCAGUAGAGGCACCCCUCAGUGGCUGUAAGGUUUAAUGAGCAAAUUGGAAGUAGAAAAGGGUCCACAUUCAUUCAACCCAAGAGGGCUUGGCUUCCUAAGUUUCUCUUGCUCUGGGUUCUGUUGGUGGCAUUCAUCAGUAUGUUAAUCUACAAGGGAAUGAACACUGAUAACAAAGUUAGAAGAAAGGAAGUUCUGGGAAGUAUGUGUAACCAGAGGGAGGGCAAGGGUGCUUCAGGAUCAAUUUAGUGUUUGUGCCAACCUAUGUCCAUGCUUUGGCCGUUCACAUUACCACUUUCCACUACUCCAAAAAUGUAUUAGCAAUUGAUGAGUUUUGUAGGGGUGUUUGGUUGGUUUGAAUGCAGGGAACUUUUGCUGAGUACAAGCGGCCCGAACAGCAUUCGAGCGACCUUUGGUUAGUGGCGUGGCAUUUGCGCGCGCAAAGAGUGGUGUACUUUGAGUGAGAAAAAUUUGAGAAGCAACAUGAGUGGAAGAACUAUGAUAUGGCAAAAAAAUGCACGAAGAGUGGUGCACUUUGAGUGAGAAAAAUUUGAGAUGCAGCAUGGGUGGAAGAACUAUGAUAUGGCUAAAAAAUGGAACCCAGGAAGGAAAAUAAGGAAUUAAAAAAUUGGAACCAAUUAUUCAACAAUUUUUUUCUACACAUGUGCAUUUUUGCAAUAUUUAGCUGAUAUGUUUUUAUGUUCUUUAUAUUGCUGCAUCACCUCAUGCUAAUUUAGAUAUGAAAUGCUUCUCUGAUGAGCUUCGUAAAUGAAGCUUCCAAAGAUGAACGGUUCUGUGGAGAUUUCUGCUGAGGAAAUCAAAGAGCGCUGUUGUAAAAAACCUCACCUGCUUUCCCCCUCAGAAGACUGAGUCAAGGAAAACCGAUGAAUUAUUAGAAAGCAAAUUAAAUGAAGAUUUGAGUGUGCAAGUAAGUUGAUGAUGGAGAGAAGAAUAAGAUGGAGUCUGAAGUUACUCUCAGAGGAGGAGGAACCAGAAAUGGUUCUUGAUGUUAAAAUCUAGUUACUGCCAAGAAGGUUGAUGAUUCUAAACAGAGGCACCACAUGCUAAUUUAGAUGUGAAAUGCUUCUCUGAAGAUGAAAAGAUGAUGAUUCUGUGGAGAUUUCUGCUGAGGAAAUCAUAGAGUGCCGUUGUUAAAAACUUCACAUGCUUUCCCUCUCAGGGCUAGAAGUAGUUGGAACCAAAUUAUGCUGAACAAAUUAAGAGCACACGAUCAAGGCAGGAAACGUCUAAUUAUGAAUUGGCAAGUGACUUUUCCUUGUUUAAUCAAUUAAAUUUUUAUUAUGAUUCUAAUCAUGCAUUUUGGGUAUCUACUUUCAUCAAAAUCAAAUUAAUAUGGGUAAUCCUCUUGGAUUAAUACACCCAGCCUCAUAUUCAAUUAUGAAUUUUAUUACAUUAGCGAUUACUAAAUCCCAUGGUUCACUAGUUGGGUAGUGAACGCUAAUCACAGUGAAGAUAUUUCAGAAGUUACCGACUCAAAAACAUUUUUUCAAUCUAGAAAUUCUGCUCAACUCCCAUAUCGUUGCAGUGAAAAUGAAAGCGAUGGGAUGAUUAGAUGCACGGUAAACAACAUUGUAAAGAGUAUGAAUCCAGUGGAAAGGGCAGUCCUGGGAUUUAUGUGCAAGGAGAUUGUUGAUAUGAGAAGACUAAUGUGGCUGAAGGAAUGUGGAUUGGAAACACAGCUUGUUAAGUAGUUCCAUCUACCAUUUCCCCUGAAAACCAUUUACUAAUCGCUAAAUGCAGAAAUAUUUGUGCUCCUUAAUUUUAUGAUGCAAUUUAAAUGCUCUUGAACAGUUUGGUUGUUGUUUAGAGAAAAACAAGCAUUAAAAAUCAAGGAUGUGAUGAAGAAAGCGCGCUUUUUUUUUUCU
Cucumis sativus (cucumber) is the source of this 4485-nucleotide long non-coding RNA. RefSeq lists it as uncharacterized. Lineage: Eukaryota; Viridiplantae; Streptophyta; Magnoliopsida; Cucurbitales; Cucurbitaceae. The transcript has 21 exons. The record is from RefSeq and is a predicted model, not a curated record.